This 253-nucleotide ribosomal RNA is filed under the name uncultured bacterium. RNAcentral's name for it is "partial 16S ribosomal RNA". It matches the Rfam family "Bacterial small subunit ribosomal RNA", at positions 524 to 776 of the family's 1533-position model. The record is from RNAcentral.
UACGUAGGGUGCAAGCGUUAAUCGGAAUUACUGGGCGUAAAGGGCUCGUAGGCGGCCAACUAAGUCGGACGUGAAAUCCCCAGGCUCAACCUGGGAACUGCGUCCGAUACUGGAUGGCUUGAAUUCGGGAGAGGGAUGCGGAAUUCCAGGUAUAGCGGUGAAAUGCGUAGAUAUUGGGAGGAACACCGGUGGCGAAGGCGGCCCUCUGGACCGGUACUGACGCUGAUGCGCGAAAGCGUGGGGAGCAAACGGG